RNAcentral lists this ribosomal RNA (238 nucleotides) under uncultured bacterium. RNAcentral describes it as "partial 16S ribosomal RNA". It matches the Rfam family "Bacterial small subunit ribosomal RNA", at positions 96 to 334 of the family's 1533-position model. The record is from RNAcentral.
CGGCGGACGGGCGAGUAACGCGUGGGUAACCUGCCUCAUACAGGGGGAUAACAGUUAGAAAUGACUGCUAAUACCGCAUAAGACCACAGGAUCGCAUGAUCCGGUGGUAAAAACUCCGGUGGUAUGAGAUGGACCCGCGUCUGAUUAGCUAGUUGGUGGGGUAACGGCUCACCAAGGCGACGAUCAGUAGCCGACCUGAGAGGGUGACCGGCCACAUUGGGACUGAGACACGGCCCAA